RNAcentral lists this unclassified non-coding RNA (226 nucleotides) under air metagenome. Its description in RNAcentral is "partial contains small subunit ribosomal RNA, internal transcribed spacer 1, and 5.8S ribosomal RNA". The stretch from base 1 to 46 matches the Rfam family "Eukaryotic small subunit ribosomal RNA", at positions 1786 to 1831 of the family's 1831-position model. The record is from RNAcentral.
AAGUCGUAACAAGGUCUCCGUUGGUGAACCAGCGGAGGGAUCAUUACCGAGUCUAAAAACUCAUCAACCCUGUGAACAUACCUAAACGUUGCUUCGGCGGGAACAGACGGCCCCGUAACACGGGCCGCCCCCGCCAGAGGACCCCCUAACUCUGUUUCUAUAAAUGUUUUUUCUGAGUAAACAAGCAAAUAAAUUAAAACUUUCAACAACGGAUCUCUUGGCUCUG